Molecule: ribosomal RNA, 253 nt
Filed under: uncultured bacterium
Lineage: Bacteria
Also listed under: 1 other name
Description: partial 16S ribosomal RNA
Rfam family: Bacterial small subunit ribosomal RNA
Source: RNAcentral
UACGUAGGGACCGAGCGUUGUCCGGAUUCAUUGGGCGUAAAGAGCUCGUAGGCGGCCACUCAAGUCGAAUGUGAAACCUCGAGGCUCAACCUCGAGCCUGCAUUCGAUACUGGGCGGCUAGAGUCUGGUAGGGGGAUCUGGAAUUCCUGGUGUAGCGGUGGAAUGCGCAGAUAUCAGGAGGAACACCGGUGGCGAAGGCGGGAUCCUGGGCCAGUACUGACGCUGAGGAGCGAAAGCGUGGGGAGCAAACAGG